UGGGGAAUAUUGGACAAUGGGCGCAAGCCUGAUCCAGCAAUGCCGCGUGUGUGAAGAAGGCCUGCGGGUUGUAAAGCACUUUCAGUAGAGAAGAAAAGCUCAUGGUUAAUACCCGUGAGUCUUGACGUAACCUACAGAAGAAGCACCGGCUAACUCCGUGCCAGCAGCCGCGGUAAUACGGAGGGUGCGAGCGUUAAUCGGAAUUACUGGGCGUAAAGCGCGCGUAGGUGGCUUUAUAAGUCGGAUGUGAAAGCCCUGGGCUUAACCUGGGAAUUGCAUUCGAAACUGUAGGGCUAGAGUAUGGUAGAGGGAAGUGGAAUUUCCGGUGUAGCGGUGAAAUGCGUAGAUAUCGGAAGGAACACCAGUGGCGAAGGCGACUUCCUGGGCCAAUACUGACGCUGAGGUGCGAAAGCGUGGGGAGCAAACAGGAUUAGAUACCCCCGUAGUCC
RNAcentral lists this ribosomal RNA (449 nucleotides) under uncultured prokaryote. RNAcentral's name for it is "bacterial SSU rRNA". It matches the Rfam family "Bacterial small subunit ribosomal RNA", at positions 355 to 796 of the family's 1533-position model. The record is from RNAcentral.